This 7059-nucleotide long non-coding RNA is filed under the name Populus trichocarpa (black cottonwood). RNAcentral describes it as "long non-coding RNA (PTRI_LNC002444)". The record is from RNAcentral. Lineage: Eukaryota; Viridiplantae; Streptophyta; Magnoliopsida; Malpighiales; Salicaceae.
CGGAAUGUUGGGUGCCCAUAAGUCCAACAAUUUAGAAGCGAGCAACAGUAGGCUUGUAGUCAAACACAAUGACUUUCUCCAGAGCAGGCAAGAAGAGGCCGCCAAAAUCAACAUGAGCUGGAUGACCUAUGUACUCUGCAAUGCCCUCUUUACUCUCACAGGUAGACUCAAAGAUAUGGGUGAAACCUUGAUGCAUGUUCUCAAUGCUCACGUCUGUGCCCCUAUCAUAUCAUGUUGAACGAUAACAAGUGUUAGAUAUUUUCUGGCAGAACCAUCAAAAGUGUUUCAGUGAUCAAGAAACUAAUUGAUCACAGUAAACUCCAAUAUUUUUCAUAUCAAAUUAAUACCAACAACACAAACAUCAACAACCUGGUCAUUUAAUAACAAGUACUUAUCCUGAUUAAUACUUGUUUAUCAUCGUCAAGCUUCGUAUAUGUGAUUGGUGAAUGAUAAUACCUGGAGCUCCAUUCAAAAUUUGAUGAAAAACAUGUAGUCAACUUAUAAUAUUCAUUGAAAUUCCUAUCUAAAUGCCAAGAAGACAACAGUCAAUUAGGCUAGAUGUAAUAUUAAUAUAUACCCUUCUAAACAUCAAGGGAUUUUGUUGUUCUGUUCCCUCUACCAAAUGCAGAAAGAAAGAGAGAUUAUGCAGUAGAAUAUUGUUGAUUACCAUUCGAAAGCUUUCAUGGGUUCGAUGAGAUUGACGAGAUUAGCAUAACCCUUGAUGAGUUUCUCAAUUUCAUCAGAUGGGAUUCCUUCCUUGAAUUUUGCCAACAAUACGUGCUUCACUACUCCUUUUGCUUCUUCCAUGAGAACAGUAUCUCUCUCUCUCUCUCGCUUGCUCUCUGUUUUUGUUUCUUCGAGAUUUCUACCGACACUUAGGGAAUCGGGCUUCUUGAAAACCAAGCUGGACGCCUUUUUGACAUUUUUUUUCCAUUGCACAAGUCUCAUCGAACACCUAGGCAUUCUGUGCCGCGGAUUGAAUUAAUUUGUUUUUAAUAUAAAACAAUAUUUAACUUUAUUAAUAAUAUUUUUAAAAAAAUUAUAAAUUAAUAAUAUAUUGCAUGUCAAAUGAUAUUUUUUUAAAAUAUCUAGAUAUUAACACAUUAAAUAACAUUUUUAUUUAAUAAAAUAGAUCUGGAUUAACCUGUAAAAUUCACGGAAAUAAUCUCAAAAAAAUAAAAUAGAAAUCUCAAUCCUUAAUUAAUUCAAUUUAAAAGAAAAAAAUUAGAAAAAAAACACUCAAUUUUAAAAUAAUAAACAAUUACAUUGCUUAGACGAGACUAGAUAGAAUGACGUUUAUGAAAAUUCCUCAAGGGAUCUGUCACGCCAUUGUCACACCCAUGCACAGAGCAAACACUCCUAACGUACUUCCCCUAGUUAUUAUGGGAUGGACAUCGGUCAUUGUAAUCGUUAUUCUACGCAAAGCCCUCCAGACUCCCAAGGGCUCAACAGACAAAGAGAAAGGAGACAGUCUGUACAUGAGCACACCUAAGGGAAUGUUUAUAGUCCCCAUCAGUGGAGGUUCUCUCCCUUGUCCAAACGCAUAUUGAAAACUUGACUCCCGAAGGACUACUUUUCCAUGAAUAUGAGUUUGGAUAACUAUGACGGCUUAGCCGAUCCAAGAGAGCAUAUGCAAAAUGUGUGUCGUAACUUGGAGUUGAUCAUCGAAGACUAUGACUCAAUGUGCAAGAUAUUCCCUUCAACCUUCAGAAGAUUUGCUUGUGCUUAGUAUAACAACGUGAAACCAAAUUUUAUUAAAGGUUUCAGUGAUCUUUGUGAGAAGCUAGUAGCACGUUUUAGAACUAGUAUACCCACCAAGAGAACCUCCACAUAGCUUUUUUAUGUAGCCCAACAAGAGGGCAAGUCUACAUGAGCAUUUUUUAGGAGAUUCAACGCGGAGAUGCUCAAAGUGGAAGAAUUAAUUGAACCAAUAGCUUCUGAAGCCUUAAUAAGAGGAAUAAGGGAACAUGCCCAAUGGAAAAACUUUAUGUUUUACCAAAUAAAAGCUUGUCCAAAGUAAAGCAAUUCAUAGAAAAUUAUAUAAGGAUUGAAAAGGUCAGCUUACUUUAACAUGGACCUCUUUAUUUAUUUAAGGACAACGAACGUCAACAAUUUUCUAAGGGAAGUAAUCAGGGUACCCAAAAAACAUCUCUUAUACUUGUUACUCAGAUCAUCUCAGUAUGUAUAAUCCUAGAUAAGAAUGUAAGUUUCUUAAAUAUGAAUGACAUAUUCGAAAUGACUUUUUCAUUUUCUCCAGAUGGUCCCUUAAGACGAUAAACCCACCAAACUCCAAGGGAUAAACAUAGUCUCCCCAAUGCUUUAUACACCACUCUCCAAAGGAUUGAUGUGAUCUUCCCAAUGCUAUAUGCAUCAAUAUCUAAGGGAUAGACAUAGUCUUUCCAGUGCUAUAUUCACCACUUACCAAUGGAGAUUACAUCUCCCUAAGGGAAACAACCCCAACAUGGUGUUGUACAAAGAAACAAUUAAGAAUUGUCCCUAGAGGAAAGAGAACAUUAAGGAGGGCCAAUAGGCAUGGAGUGCGGAAAUAUAUGGUAUUAUUAUCCAAUAUCCUUCAGGUACGUAAACGCCUCCCACCUUUUAUCUUAAAAGGAUGACGAUACGUUUUUUUAGCAAAGUUGUCAUCUUAACCUCUCUAAAGCCUUUACAUGCAAAAUCACAUGUUAAAGGCUUGAGGGGCAACUGAUGAGUCAAUUUUAUUAAGUUUUUAUUUAUUUAUUUAUUUUGUAAACGUAUGAGUUUUACAUGUAUGCCAGACCCAAUACACUUGGACUUGGCAGUGCACCAAGUUCAAGGUGGCGUGGGUCUGGCACGCAUGUCAAACCCAAUACGCUUGGAUUUGACAGUUAGCCAAGUCCAAGGCGCCUAGACUUGGCAGUAUGCCAAGUCCAAGGUCAAUACGCUUGGACUUGACAGUGCACCAAGUCCAAGGUAGCGUAGGUCUGGCGCACAUGCUAGACUCAAUACGCUUGGACUUGGCAGUACGGUAGGUCCAAGGUGGCGUGGGUAUGGCACGCAUGCCAGAUUCAAUAUGCUUAGACUUGGAAGUUAAACAAGUCCAAGGUAGCAUGGGUCAAGCAAACAUGUCAGACCCAAUACGCUUAAGGUAGUGUGGGUCUGGCAUUUAAGACACUUGGACUUGGCAGUUCGCCAAGUCCAAGGUGGCGUGGGUCUGGCACGCAUGCCAGACUCAAUAAGCUUAAGCUGGCGUGGGUCUGGCACGCAUGUCAUACCUAAUAUGCUUGGAUGUGGCAAGUAGCCAAAUCCAAGACACUUGGACUUGGCAGUUCGCCAAGUCCAAGGUGUCGUGGGUCUGGCACGCUUACCAUAUCCAAUACACUUGGACUUGGUAGUCAGUUAUGUCCAAGGCACUUGGAUUUCAUAAUGCACCAAGUCUAAGGUAGAGUGGGUCUAGGAGGCAUGCCAGACCCAAUACACUUGGACUUGACAGUCAGCCAAGUCCGAGGUGGCGUGGGUCUGGCACGCAUGUCAGACCCAUUACGCUUGGACUUGGCAAUUUGCCAGGUUCAAGGUGGUGUGGGUGUGGCACACAUGCCAGACUCAAAGUACUUGGACUUGACAGUACGACAAGUCCAAGGAGACGUGGGUCUAACACGCAUGCCAGACCCAAUACGCUUGGACUUGACAGUUAGCCAAGUCCAAGACACGUGGACUUGGCAGUACGACAGGUCUAAGAUUGCAUGGAUCUGACACGUAUGGAAAACCCUAUUUCCAAGCUAGUCAGAUUUUUAAGAUAUCAUCAAUUACGUAAGGUGAAAGUGAAAACAAAGAAAAAAUAAAAAAGGAUGCUACCUACUUUGAAGGCACCAACAUUGGCUUAUAAAAAAAAAUCUCUAGAAAAUACUAAGAUAAACAAGAGAGACUAAUAUCAAGCUCUAUUACAUGACUACUUAUGCAUCAUAUAAAACCUUAAAUAUUAUAAAUUAAGUUUUUUAAAUUACCUAUAAUCUGUAUAAUACCUCAUUUGCACUUAAUUUUGACUAUUAAAACUCUAAAAACUUAAAAAUAAAAGCCAAUAAUUAAAAUAAAAAAAAAUAAUAAAAACACAUAAAAUUCAAAAAAUAUUUUAAUUGGACAUUUGUUAUUUUCUUAUAUUAUAUUUGGUUUCUUUUGAAAAAAUGAUUUAUAUCUUUUGACAAACUCUACUACUAUUAAAAAGGUCUCUAUAAUUAAGAGGUUAAAUAAACUCUUUAUUUAUGUCUAUAUAUUUAAUAUUUGUCAUGCUUAUAUUAAAAAACAACUUUUUAAAAAUAAAAUGAUAUGUGAAAACUAUAAUUUUAAUAUUAUCAAGUUAAAAUUAGGUGAAACGUGAUUAUUAAAAAAAAAUAUGUGUUUUCUUACUUCUUUCAUAAUUAACUGAAGAACAUACUUUAUUUACCCGUGCUGAAAUAUUUGAUUGGACAAAAAUACCUUUAAAAUUUUAGAAUUAUUGCAUGUGUUAAAAAAACUAUGCUAAAUAUAUUGUCCUACUUUUAAAAAACUUGCAUAUAUUGUCUUACUUCGAAAAAUUCUACUUGUCAAAAUUAAAAAGACUUGAAUGCGAUAAUUAAACUCUAUAUCUUAAUAUUUAUCUUAUUUAUUUUAUGUUAAAAAGUCUCUCUUUGAAAUAGAAGCAUUUUUAAGAACUAUAAAGCUAAUAUAAUCAUGCAGGAAUUGAAUUAAAAUUAUGUAUAUGUAUUGUAUAUAUUGAUAGUUUUACUCAAAUUUUGUUUCUUCAUGAUAUUUUAUUAUUAUUUUCAAUUUAUAAAAUUAAAUUAACUUUUUGAUAAAACUUUAAUUGAUACACAAUUGCUUGUGCCAAAACACUAGUUUAGUAAAGAACAUGUAAAAUAUCAGGUAUUACCUAAACACUCUAAAUAAACUAAAGUUUUUAUAGUGUUUUAUCGUUAAUAGUAUCAGUAAAGCAUCUUAAUAUAUUUUUUAAUAAUUUUAUAAUAAAUUUAUAUCACAACUCAGCCUGUUAGUGUGUGUGACAUGUCAGAGAUCUCAGGUUUAAACACUAGAAAGCACAUUUAUUUUUUAAAAUGUGAUAGAAAACAAGUUGUCUAUCACAUUUUUUUUCCUAAAAAACCAAAAAUAAAAAUAAAGCAGGGCCAAACAUUGAACCUGAUUAGUUGCUCUAACUUUUUUUUUUACACUGAGAAAAAUUUACUAGAUUUACUUACGUUUUAGUUUUGAUUUAAUUUUUAAAUACUAUUAUAAAUUUUUAUUUGAAUUUUAAUAUGUAUAUUUUUUCAGUAUCUAAAUAUCUAAUAGACUAAAUGCAUGCUGCAAAGAGGGAAAUUUCUUUAAUGGACAGAUCAUGAUAUCUUUGAUUAAGCACUAAUAAGAGAUGGCACAUUUUCUGAAUUAUGUAGCAGGUUUUAGUUCUUACUGAUAUUUGAGAACUGACAAGGGGCGUUUUGAGCAUGUAACAGCAUGAAUAGGAUAGAGAGAACACAGGCAGAUGCCAACGGACCACAAACAAGCAAAUGAUGCUAGAAUCUCCCAGCCAUUAGCAACACCUACAACAAGCAUAUCUACUCAUCCGCUCCAAAUUACAUUUGAGGAAAACUGCAUAUUCAUUUAGCAGAUUUCUUAACAUCAAUUCACUGCUAUGAGUGCUAUCAGCUGGUCAAAACGUGGAGCCUGAUGAAUGUGAGCAGGCUAGCAAAUGCAAAGCCGAAGAACACAGUUAAAUCCAAUUGAGUUUAACUGUGCAGGUUGUUGAAAGAAAAUGGGCACAUGGCUCUCUGAUGCAAGUCGAUGAAAGAUACCGUGCUGGAGAUCAAGGUAAAUCCACUUCUCAAAUUAUGACCGAACAGAGAAUCUUUACGGCAUCUCAGCACUUGCUCUGAUCAAUUCAAUUUGGUCAGUGCUUGAGCCUGACAAGAAAAGAAAUUGCAUUUCCUGCUGAAAGUUAAAGAUUUUAUUGUGUGAUCAGAAUUCGAAGUACAGAUUCAUGAAAAUCCAUCUCUACGCAGUAGCUGUUCGGUGAUACAAUUGUUCAUAUGUUCUCUUGGCAUCUUUAUGGGUGGAGCCUUUCUAGGGGUUUCAUUAGCUGUGUUAGAAGGAACUACAAGGCUAGGUCUUAUCCACCUUCUGGUCAUCAGCCUGGAUGAAAGAAAGUGAGUUAUAAAACGGGCAUUGAGAGAUUCCACGGCAAUAUGCUAUUGUCAUAUAAUAAGAAAGCACCGAGCAGAGGCCACAUCAAUGGUUCAGUCAUGGUGACCGAAAGAAGAGGAGAAACUCUACAGAAAAAAAUAAAUUGCAGACCUCAACACGUAAAGAAGUGCAAACAAAGCAAAAGGGCUCAACACCACCGAAUGUCAUUGAAUUCAGAUUAGCAAUUCCACAAAACAAGCCGAAAUCAAAUCCUUGGGAGACCACAACAGCAGGAUUUAUUUAUUUCUUUAUAAUACAGCAGCGGAAUGUUGGAUGCCCAUAAGUCCAACAAUUUAGAAGCGAGCAACAGUAGGCUUGUAGUCAAACACAAUGACUUUCUCCAGAGCAGGCAAGAAGAGGCCGCCAAAAUCAACAUGAGCUGGAUGACCUAUGUACUCUGCAAUGCCCUCUUUACUCUCAAAGGUAGACUCAAAGAUAUGGGUGAAACCUUGAUGCAUGUUCUCAAUGCUCACGUCUGUGCCCCUAUCAUAUCAUGUUGAACGAUAACAAGUGUUAGAUAUUUGCUGGCAGAACCAUCAAAGUGUUUCAGUGAUCAAGAAACUAAUUGAUCACAGUAAACUCCAAUAUUUUUCAUAUCAAAUUAAUACCAACAACACAAACAUCAACAACCUGGUCAUUUACUAACAAGUACUUAUCCUGAUUAAUACUUGUUUAUCUUCAUCAAGCUUCGUAUAUGUGAUUGGUGAAUGAUAAUACCUGGAGCUCCAUUCAAAAUUUGAUGAAAAACAUGUAGUCAACUUAUAAUAUUCAUUGAAAUUCCUAUCUAAAUGCCAAGAAGACAACAGUCAAUUAGGCUAGAUGUAAUAUUAAUAUAUACCCUUCUAAACAUCAAGGGAUUUUGUUGUUCUGUUCCCU